Molecule: long non-coding RNA, 2376 nt
Organism: Pan troglodytes (chimpanzee)
Lineage: Eukaryota; Metazoa; Chordata; Mammalia; Primates; Hominidae
Exons: 8
Source: RefSeq, a predicted model, not a curated record
CACAACUCGAUUAAAUGCCUUGUCUAAGGUCAACAAGUCCGUUAGGGUUGGAACUAACUGACGACAGACGAAGCCAUCCUAACCCCUGAAAUCUACAAGUAGUCCAGGAAGAGGGGGAGAAGAUCCCUUUAGGUGUGAAGGAAGAAUGGACUGGAAAGUAGAGACCCUGAGAUCCAGGACGGAAGGCGAGAAGAGGCUCGCUUGACUGUCAUAAGCUUGAUUUUGCUGAAAGAGACCCCAGAAAGGGCAGUGAUGAGAGAUGAGGCCACAAUACAGAUACCCAAUUAUUUCAGCAUCACUUGCUAAAAAUACUUUCCUUUCGUCUUUGGAUUCCACUGGCAACUUUAUUGAAAAAUCAGAUAACUAUGAACACAAAGAGAAGGCGGAAAUCUUCAAGUCAGAAAGAGAACUCACUGAAACCUGACCAUGUUGGCACCCUGAUCUUAGACUUCCAGCCUCUGAAACUAUACUUGUUGCAUGGUUUCCAUUCUGUGCUGCCUUCUCUUCUGGACGAUGGGGUUAGGAUAGUGAAUGAGAAGCUUUGUGUUGCAGUGCUUAGAAGAUAGACGACUUUCCACCAGGGUGAAAAGUGCUCGCAAAAAUAGAUACCAUGUCUCUUUCCUGACAGUAUGAAUGAUGGGGAAACCUGGCUAUGCACAGAAGCCUAACUACUCUCUGGAUACCAUGGAUAAAAGCAGCUUGAACUAGUACCAAAAUGAGCAUUACAAACACUGCAGGUGUCUCUCAAAUCGAGCCCUCAUUUUCCAAGCAAUUAAUGCUGAUUUCAAGCCAAUAGGACAAUAACAAGGGGCUACACCUAGAAGAGCCUGCUGUUUCAUACAACUGUGUCUGCUAAAACAGUUCAGCCACAAAUCCUGGACAAGAGAUCUCCUGCGGAGUGUGAGCAGCAUGGAGGAGCCAUAAUCCCGCUAUCUCUCUCAAGUUCACCAGAAUGCCCAUGGGACCUGUAAUUACAGUGACUCAUCCCUAAAAAAGUUAUUGAUGACAGAAAUCAUAUAGGCAAUUGCAAAAUUGUCUUUGUGAAGAGGGAGAAUAAACUAGAAUGGUUAUGGAAGGAAAAUCCCUCAAGAACAGAAGAGGAUCAAUAACCCAUGGGGGGGAGGCUUCUCAUAUAUUCAUUUCACACACUACUCCAUCCUCUGAUGCAGUCAGACACAGUCUGCUGAACACAAUUUCCACCCGAUGAUUAGAAAAUGCAGUCCCAUCAAAAGCACAUCUGCCCCAACAUCCUCUGUUAUAAUUUGCUAGCACUGGGUGCCACCUCUUGCAUUCUGAAAGCACCGACCCUUUCCUGCUCCCCAAGCUGCAGAGACACUUAUGUUUUUUCCCUCGAAAGAGGAAAUGUGUUUCACUUUUUUAUACCCACAUGUUGGGAGUGGAUUAAAAACAAUAUUAUUUGAUCCUCUGCUCAAUGUCUGAGGCUCAGGAUUACAUAGUUUUAAGUUAAUGCGGUGGUUCUCAAUGCUGGCUGCACAAUAAAACAUCCGAGGAGCUUUUAAAAAUAUUGAAGCCUAGACUGCACCAUGGACAAAUUACAUCAGAACUUUUGGGCAUCUGUGUUAUAUUACACUGCCCCUUGGUGAUUCAAAUGUGCAACCAGCUUGAGAGAUACUAAGCGAAAAGAAACUUUUCUGUUCUCUUUGAGAUUUCUGAAAACAUUCUAAAAGAAUCACCAAAUAAGAAAAUCUCAAAAUAAGAUAAAGAAGCUAUCAUAUUAUUUUGGUCCAAAUUUGUGGAUUUUAUUUUUGGUACGUACACAAUCUGUGUUUCUGCAGAAAUGCAGAAUCAUAUCCAUCCUUGCUCCACCAGAGGUCCAACGACAUACAUCUUUACUGUCUCAUUUGAAAAAGACUGUUCACCUUUUCUUCAUCCCAGACCAUCAACCAUUGCUAAGCCAUAUACGCAUUGACUCCCUUUUUUCUGACCUCAGAACUCCCACAGGCCUUGUGCACCUCUGCUAUUCCUAGGCAACGAGAGCCUUCCUGCAGUAGGAAACACCUAUUCCACUCAGUUCUGUUUAAACUCAAUCUUUUUCAUGUUUCAAGUUCCUCCUGAUACAAACCUGACUCCAAAUCCCCCAGCGCAGAUGAACUUACACUGAGCAUUAGAAGCAAUCUCCUAAAAUUAAUUCCCAAUGGGUCAGUGACUGAUAGCCCGUUAAAGCGUGUGAAGGUAGCUGCAUUCUCCAGUGUUGAAUGCCUAUCAACCUAAAUGAACUGGUGUUUCAUGACAUUUCAGGGGCUAGAAGAGUUGAAUUGAGAAAUCCGUCCAUUUGGGCAGAGCUUUUAGUAAAACUAAAAGUAUUCAGCCCAGCCGGGUGGGUGGACCAGCCUUUUCUUCUAGUUUUAUUGCCAU